AUUGAACGCUGGCGGCAUGCCUUACACAUGCAAGUCGAACGGCAGCACGGGAGCAAUCCUGGUGGCGAGUGGCGAACGGGUGAGUAAUAUAUCGGAACGUGCCCAGUAGUGGGGGAUAACUGCUCGAAAGAGCAGCUAAUACCGCAUACGACCUGAGGGUGAAAGCGGGGGAUCGCAAGACCUCGCGCUAUUGGAGCGGCCGAUAUCAGAUUAGCUAGUUGGUGGGGUAAAGGCCUACCAAGGCAACGAUCUGUAGUUGGUCUGAGAGGACGACCAGCCACACUGGGACUGAGACACGGCCCAGACUCCUACGGGAGGCAGCAGUGGGGAAUUUUGGACAAUGGGGGCAACCCUGAUCCAGCCAUGCCGCGUGCGGGAAGAAGGCCUC
RNAcentral lists this ribosomal RNA (388 nucleotides) under uncultured bacterium. RNAcentral describes it as "bacterial SSU rRNA". It matches the Rfam family "Bacterial small subunit ribosomal RNA", at positions 29 to 418 of the family's 1533-position model. The record is from RNAcentral.